UUUAACUCGAGUGUUCUUCACUUAUGUUCUUUCCUUUUCUUUUGCAGAGUUUCUUCAAGGAUUACGUGGGGGUUCCUUUGGUGAUGGAGCCCAACUUCAAUGAUUAUAGCUGUCAGUUCAAAUUUGGGGUCAAUCCUCCAUUGCCGGAGAAUGAUGAUACCCUGAAACAGCCCUGCCUGGAUAUAUGCCCAAUUGCUAAUAAACGAAGG
Long non-coding RNA from Hibiscus syriacus, 209 nucleotides. RefSeq lists it as uncharacterized. The transcript is spliced from 2 exons. NCBI's taxonomy places the organism in Eukaryota, Viridiplantae, Streptophyta, Magnoliopsida, Malvales, Malvaceae. The record is from RefSeq and is a predicted model, not a curated record.